UAACAUCGCGUCGCCCCCAACACCCCGUGCACCGUAUGGUCCCGGUGGUAGCUGGGGGCGGAGACUGGUCUCCCGUGCAGUGCGCGGCUGGCCUAAAUGCGAGUCACUCGCGACGGACGCGACAACAAGUGGUGGUUGAUUACCUCAACUGAAGUUCUGUCGUU
Molecule: ribosomal RNA, 164 nt
Filed under: Centaurium centaurioides
Lineage: Eukaryota; Viridiplantae; Streptophyta; Magnoliopsida; Gentianales; Gentianaceae
Description: 5.8S ribosomal RNA
Source: RNAcentral